UUUGUUGCCCAGAUAAAUAUUCAGCGCUGCUUCUGCCUCUGGCUCUGGCAUAGCCACUUCCUCUGCGGACUUUCCAUUUGCUAGUAUAUCGAUACCCUGCAACUACAAUAGGAUAGCAAGGCCCACGCCGAAACCGACUUAUCACGUCCGGUUUUAUUAUUUUUAUUAUAUAAAAAAUAAUAUAUGAAAACUAUUAAAUGUCACAACACAGAGGGAGAAUAAGCGACCAAGUAUAGAAAAAAGCACGAGAAUAAUUAAAGUGGAAAUUAAACAUUUAAUCAGCAGAAAUGUAUCAAAGGAAAAAGAAGGGCAUGAGACCCUGUCAUGUCUGGAAAACCGAAUUGAAUACUCCACGUGUGCCACCGUGACAUUAAAUGCCCAUUCUAUGAACUCAUUUAAGGAGUUCCAGUCGCUUCAGACCAGUUCCUUAGUUUCAAGGAUGUCGCAGGGCAUUGAAUAACUUACCUGGAGCGUACUCAAAAAACUCUUUGCCUUCUAACGAAAGCUAACACAUGUGCAUGCGUAGUAAUCACCGGCGUUGCAGUAAUCAUAAUAUUAAUCGGAAUAAUAGUCGAGGUGACAAAUACAAUGAUGAUUGAUAACGGAUAAAUAUAGAGAUAAAAAACUAACCGAAAUCGAUUCAAGAAAAAUGGGACAACAAAAUUUGAUUGUUUUUAAAUUGUUUAAUAGAUUUCAUAUAUUUUUUUGUUAAAUAUACGAAUUUUUCCUAA
Molecule: long non-coding RNA, 731 nt
Organism: Drosophila pseudoobscura
Lineage: Eukaryota; Metazoa; Arthropoda; Insecta; Diptera; Drosophilidae
Exons: 3
Source: RefSeq, a predicted model, not a curated record